GCAACCCUAGCUCAGUUGGUAGAGCACUAGACUGAAAAUCUGGGUGUCCCCGGUUCAAGUCCGGGGGGUUGCACCA
This 76-nucleotide transfer RNA is filed under the name Candidatus Eiseniibacteriota bacterium. Its description in RNAcentral is "tRNA-Phe". It matches the Rfam family "tRNA". Rfam says of the family: Transfer RNA (tRNA) molecules are approximately 80 nucleotides in length. Their secondary structure includes four short double-helical elements and three loops (D, anti-codon, and T loops). Lineage: Bacteria; Candidatus Eiseniibacteriota. The record is from RNAcentral.